CAGUCGCCACGGUAAUACAGAGGGUGCGAGCGUUAAUCGGAUUUACUGGGCGUAAAGCGUGCGUAGGCGGCUAAUUGAGUCGGAUGUGAAAUCCCCGAGCUUAACUUGGGAAUUGCAUUCGAUACUGGUUAGCUAGAGUGUGGGAGAGGAUGGUAGAAUUCCAGGUGUAGCGGUGAAAUGCGUAGAGAUCUGGAGGAAUACCGAUGGCGAAGGCAGCCAUCUGGCCUAACACUGACGCUGAGGUACGAAAGCAUGGGGAGCAAACAGGAUUAGAGACCCCUGUAGUCCCUGUCUCUUAUAC
RNAcentral lists this ribosomal RNA (301 nucleotides) under uncultured bacterium. RNAcentral describes it as "partial 16S ribosomal RNA". It matches the Rfam family "Bacterial small subunit ribosomal RNA", at positions 509 to 807 of the family's 1533-position model. The record is from RNAcentral.